GUAAAGGAGAGCCACGUUUCCUGAGGGAGGGAGGGAAAGAACAGAAAGAAGGAGCCCGGAGACAGAGACAGGUUGACACCUCUGAAGUCAAAAUGUGUCUUGUAACUAAUGAUGUCACAGGUCUGGGAUUCCAGGACCAUUUCCAAGUCAAGGAACAGGAUUCCUGAAUCACUGUUACUGUCACCAUGGUCCUUCCCACAGGGUGAUGAUGACACAAGGCUUGUUGCCAUCAAAAGCAUUCAUUGAAGCUGGAAUCACCAUCACUGCCUUAUCUUUCCCUUGUAGGAGCUCUGGAAAAGGGGCCAUCCCACACAGACUACCAUUUGAGGCACUAUGCCUCCCCCUACACAUCUGAGUGAAUGUUUCUAGGGGCCAGCUGAUGUCAAGAGACCCCAGGACUGUGCGUUACACUGCUGAUUCAUCCCACGGCAGUGGACAUCUCGACCUG
This is a long non-coding RNA of Nannospalax galili (Upper Galilee mountains blind mole rat), 448 nucleotides long. RefSeq lists it as uncharacterized. The record is from RefSeq and is a predicted model, not a curated record. Lineage: Eukaryota; Metazoa; Chordata; Mammalia; Rodentia; Spalacidae. The transcript is spliced from 4 exons.